RNAcentral lists this non-coding RNA (21 nucleotides) under Arabidopsis thaliana (thale cress). Lineage: Eukaryota; Viridiplantae; Streptophyta; Magnoliopsida; Brassicales; Brassicaceae. The record is from RNAcentral.
CCGGUUGCUGUUUUGCUUCGU